RNAcentral lists this unclassified non-coding RNA (253 nucleotides) under Paraglomerales sp. RNAcentral describes it as "partial contains 5.8S ribosomal RNA and internal transcribed spacer 2". The stretch from base 1 to 65 matches the Rfam family "5.8S ribosomal RNA", at positions 84 to 154 of the family's 154-position model. Lineage: Eukaryota; Fungi; Glomeromycota; Glomeromycetes; Paraglomerales. The record is from RNAcentral.
GUGAAUCAUCGAAUUUUUGAACGCAAAUUGCGCCUUUUUCGGUAGGCAUGUCUGUUUGAGGGCAAUAUUCAAUAAAUAAUGUGCAGCGUUUUUUGUUGCACACGUUGAUGAGCUUUCCCAGAAUUUUAAAUUUUUGGUGGCGCUUAAUGAUCAGCGUGAAAGUUUUUUUCAGUUCGUGUGUAGUAAAAUUUUUUAUUGGGUUGUGAAAAAACAUAAUCGCGCAAUGGGUGUGGCAACUUCUGUUUUCAUCUGU